GACGAACGCUGGCGGCAGGCUUAACACAUGCAAGUCGAACGCACCGCAAGGUGAGUGGCAGACGGGUGAGUAACGCGUGGGAACGUACACUUCGGUUCGGAAUAGCUCCGGGAAACUGGAAUUAAUACCGGAUACGCCCUUAGGGGGAAAGAUUCAUCGCCGAAGGAUCGGCCCGCGUCAGAUUAGGUAGUUGGUAGGGUAACGGCCUACCAAGCCGAUGAUCUGUAGGUGGUCUGAGAGGANGAUCACCCACACUGGGACUGAGACACGG
Molecule: ribosomal RNA, 271 nt
Filed under: uncultured bacterium
Lineage: Bacteria
Description: partial 16S ribosomal RNA
Rfam family: Bacterial small subunit ribosomal RNA
Source: RNAcentral